AACGUAGACACGGCCGGCGCGGGUCAAACUGUAGUAUCUGUUCUUAUCAGCUUAAUGUCUGAUUAGCAUUGCGUUUGGACCCAAGUUAUUAAACAUAUUUUUGCAAGUUUGUGGAGUGCUUGAAGCCUACUUCACCUCCGCCACGGGUCAGCCAGGUUUUACACUAUCUUCUGAAUCGGGCCACAGUUU
Molecule: non-coding RNA, 189 nt
Organism: Dermacentor andersoni
Lineage: Eukaryota; Metazoa; Arthropoda; Arachnida; Ixodida; Ixodidae
Source: RefSeq, a predicted model, not a curated record